This 210-nucleotide long non-coding RNA is filed under the name Hordeum vulgare. RNAcentral's name for it is "long non-coding RNA (HVUL_LNC015618)". The record is from RNAcentral. Lineage: Eukaryota; Viridiplantae; Streptophyta; Magnoliopsida; Poales; Poaceae.
UUCGUAAUCACAACGAUACCAAGUAUGGCAGUACAUCCGAACUCUCUCCACCAAUACUAGGGAUGCCAGACUCCUCUUACCACUAAUAGUAUUGAAUCAACUUCAAACAUCCUCCAUCGUGAGAUAUUAAGAAAUCUGAAUGAUAACGAUGUGCUCAAGAAUCCCCUGGAGCUCAACUCCCCAGAAGAAAUCAAGACAGACACGAGGCAC